CCAGUGUCUGGAAGAUUAACUCGGACGAAAGCCUUACCUUGAGAUUUAGCUUCAGAGUCCUUGACAAAAGUUAUAGGAAAUUCAAUUAGCUUUCCAACGACGGUAAUUUCAGGGCAAUCAGAGCAGUACUUCAAGAUUUAUGACCGAUUUAGUGCACACAUAUCAAUAUGACGCGUCUAAAAAGUUUAUCCGGAAACUUCAAGAUUUCAGACAAGAAGUUGUAGCGACUUAGUGCAGCGGGAUCAGUACAUCAAUAGACUUUUUCAUGAUAAAAUUAUGGGCAGCAUUACUGAUCGAAGAUUUUAAUAACUGGAAUGUGAAAACUGAUGUAAUGGCUCGGAGUUAUUAAAAUUUAAUGAGGUUGCAAAGAGUGAGAAGCGAUGAAGAAAGCUGCCAAAAGGAAGUUGAAACCAUAUGUUGAGAAACCAAUGAAGAAACAGCGGUCAAGGGGAAGGUGAAACCAGACGUUGUGAAGCUAGAGAAGAGCAAGGACGGCUUAAAGACGAAAAAGACGACAAUGGUUGCGAAAGACGGGUCUAGUGGUGGAUUGAAGCCGAAGAGGAAGAAGAGUGUGCUUUGGAAAUGAGGCAAAGG
This 594-nucleotide small RNA is filed under the name Arabidopsis thaliana (thale cress). RNAcentral's name for it is "putative long intergenic non-coding RNA". The record is from RNAcentral. Lineage: Eukaryota; Viridiplantae; Streptophyta; Magnoliopsida; Brassicales; Brassicaceae.